CCGUUAGUGGGAAAAACGGAAGGUCUUUAGGCUCUUUUGAACCUGUAACCGUUGCUAAUACGGCUGUAUCGCCGUAGCGAAUCAAAGCCGCACCGCUCGCCUGCUUUGCCAGUUGACCAAUUUCAACUGACAAUUCACGACCAGCCCAAUCAAUUGAAAACACUUGCUUGUCCUGUGCCAUUAAUGUGAGAACUCCUCUCAUCCAAUAAAAUCAUUUCUUUUAUUAUACCCUAACCUUUUUAUAUCUAAAAAGAAAGGAAGAAAUCUAUGUAUUUUAACCUAAUAAAAAAGCGGGAAUUAUCCCGCUUUUCUG
Molecule: antisense RNA, 313 nt
Rfam family: Listeria sRNA rliD